RNAcentral lists this long non-coding RNA (340 nucleotides) under Rhinopithecus bieti (black snub-nosed monkey). RNAcentral's name for it is "lncRNA (ENSRBIG00000045049.1)". The record is from RNAcentral. Lineage: Eukaryota; Metazoa; Chordata; Mammalia; Primates; Cercopithecidae.
CUUUGAGGACACAUUCAGACCAUAGCAUCUGGUGAAUUUGUAAAAAAAUAGAGAUUUCCGGGGCUCGUGGCUGUUGAACUUUCUGUUACAUUUGAUAUGUGAAUGACAGACUGCAAUACAGUCAAUAAAUUGGAAAACCUCCAAGAAUAUUCCAAAAAAAAAGAAAAAGUGAGCUCUGGUAGUGGAUUUGCAGCUUACUAUGUUUCAUAUAUUGUAUGCAAAAUUCAAAAUUUGGCAAAAUAUCUGCACAAGAUCUACUGAAGCCAUAGCAUGGAGAUACUAUUUACAGGAAAGAAACAAAACAAACAGAAAAUGAAUAAUUUCUUCAAGAGUAAGUUUU